This 386-nucleotide ribosomal RNA is filed under the name uncultured bacterium. Its description in RNAcentral is "bacterial SSU rRNA". It matches the Rfam family "Bacterial small subunit ribosomal RNA", at positions 28 to 416 of the family's 1533-position model. The record is from RNAcentral.
GACGAACGCUGGCGGCGUGCUUAACACAUGCAAGUCGAGCGGUAAGGCCCUUUCGGGGGUACACGAGCGGCGAACGGGUGAGUAACACGUGGGUGACCUGCCCUCAGCUCUGGGAUAAGCCUGGGAAACCGGGUCUAAUACCGGAUAUGACUCCAUGACGCAUGUUGUGGGGUGGAAAGCCUUGUGCGGCUGAGGAUGGGCCCGCGGCCUAUCAGCUUGUUGGUGGGGUGAUGGCCUACCAAGGCGACGACGGGUAGCCGGCCUGAGAGGGCGACCGGCCACACUGGGACUGAGACACGGCCCAGACUCCUACGGGAGGCAGCAGUGGGGAAUAUUGCGCAAUGGGCGUAAGCCUGACGCAGCGACGCCGCGUGGGGAUGAAGGCC